This is a long non-coding RNA of Camelus dromedarius (Arabian camel), 4455 nucleotides long. RefSeq lists it as uncharacterized. The record is from RefSeq and is a predicted model, not a curated record. NCBI's taxonomy places the organism in Eukaryota, Metazoa, Chordata, Mammalia, Artiodactyla, Camelidae. The transcript has 4 exons.
UGGGGUGACCUUCUAGGCCGCCGUAGCCUGGUCCGUGCCAAGCACGGAGUUACAGCCGACCGUCUCGGCGGAGGCAGCGACACCCUCCAGGAUGCGGUCAGCCGGGCCUAGACGAGGAGUCGGCGCAUUUGGAGCGGGGUACAGCACGAAUGCAGAAAGGAUGGGUUCCCUGAAUUGGCAUCGGUGUCAUUGCGGGUGAACUGGAAGACUCAUAGAACACCAGGUCCUCUCAGGUUUGCUGGACAGCUAAGGACACAGAAAUUUCAAGCCACACCGCCUUGCUGUGACAUGCCCAGAGUAACCCACAGAAAAUGCAUGUUUUUCAGAAGAAGUAAUGCAUACUGUACUCCCACGAAGGAAAGCCUGCUCUUCAUAAAAAGCUAACAGGCAGCAAGAAAGGUAGAAAAGAAGCGAGUACGUUUAUUGGAUCCGGUGCUGAAGCUGCUUACUAAGAAACACGGCACGUCCUUCUCGGGCAAGCGCUGCUGUGGAUCUGGACGGUGGACGCCGAGGACCGACUGCGGAUGAACCUCAGCGCUGUUUUGUCUUGCUUGGGUCUGUUUCAGACUCUGUGUAAGGGCUUCAAUAGGUAGCUGAGUCCACGGGGGACGUGUAAGGACGGAACGCCUGUUUCAUUUUGGUCUGCUAGUUAUUUUACUGCUGUGUAAAUGCGGCAUCUUCAGUAUGCUGGGCGAAAAGGAAAGGCUUUGAAUUCUUUGAUUUUCCGAUGAUUUUGGCCGGGUAAACCGGGUGCGGGUGACACUUAAAGCAGAAACAAAAAUGAAAAUGAAGGGAAGAAUAUUGGCACUAAAGGGGAAAGUCCCUUUCAUGGUUCACAAAGCAGCAUACCGCUUUGGAAGGGAGAAAUCCGCCCUUGACGGCACCUAGCAGGGUGCCCCGGUGAAAUCGAAUGGUCGAACAAACACAGAUGGGGAGACAGACUGCCUCCAGAAUGAGGGGUUCCCAAGAUGUGGCCCCGGGCGGCAGCAGCCGCACCUGGGAACCCCUUAGAAAUGCAAAUUCUCAGGCCCGCCCCGACUUGCUGGAGCAGAAACCCGGGUGGGCCCGGCAACAAGGCCUCCUGGUGCGUCUGAGAGUCACAGGGUCUCACGGAAUCUCUCUCUGGGUUGCAACUUUUUUCCUCCCCGACUCCAGACUGUCCUGAGGCCAGACCUGAUGUCUUCACAGUAGGGGUGGGGGGUGGGGGAGCUCCUGACUCUGCCUCUUCUAUUUUUGUAUGUAAAAUUUCAUUGUGAAAUAAAUCUUCGAUACAAAAGACAAUAUUUACUGUAUAGAUACCAUUAAAAGAAUUGAUGACGGAAUCAUGACAUGAUUAACCGUGCUACUGAUGAAAUCAGUCACUCCUAACACUCAGGUGAGGAACUGGAAUGUUGCUGGCUCUCAGAACUUGCUCCUGCACCUUGAAGGAACUGUUCUCUGAGAGAGGGGGCAUUGGGCAUUGGCACUAUUUAAAAAAAAGUUGUCUCUUCUUUUUUCAUUGCUUCUGACUCCAUAGUGUUGGUUAGACUUACACUCUUUCAAGGAUGAGACAUAACUUUGAUUUAAUGCACAACUUCUAAUGUGUGUUCUCGUUUACGGUGUCUCAUCCUCACCAGUGUUCUUUUUGGGGGGGGGAUGUGAGGGAGGCAAUCAAUUUCUUUCUUUCUUUACGUAACAGAGGUGCUGGGGCUUGAACCCAGGCCCUCUUGCAUGCUGAGCAUGCGCUCUGCCACUGAGCGGCACCCGCCCCCUCACUGAUGUACUAUAUGAGUCAGCUCCUUCAAAACUGUUUUGUGAACUUCAGAGUCUCCACUGUCGGUUAGUUUCAAGGUCCGAACAAAUUAGUUUUAAUGAUCCACAGCUUCCAGUUUUUGUUGUCAUUCAUAAUAAUCUUCACUGAAAUUCUAUGACUCCGUCCUUCCUCCCUUUUUUAUGUGUCUAUGUAGAUAAUGUCUAGUGCUUAGACAAAGGCUGAUGAAACGAGCUACACAGGCGUCGAAAGUUAAUGCCGCUUUGUUUCCUUUCACCCACAGCUCGGUAGUUACCAUGGUUACGGAGAAGGGUCCAGGUCGCGCCAGCUGGCAGAUGUGGUAGCACGUUUUCCCUGGCUCAGUUUCUCAGUUACUGCCGCAUCACAGCAACUAGUUUUCAGGGGAAGCUUUUUUCUUCUAUCCUAGGUUAAUUUGCGGAGCUUUUUAGCUCUCAUUUCACAGCCUUGAUUUAACCAGCUCACCAGGCACAAAAGCGCAUUUCAGCAGAGGUGGGGCAGACCAAGGCGACCAGCACGGAGAAUUUAUGAGAGCGACAGUCCUUCCUUCUUCUCUGUCUGCGUGUUUGUUUAUCCUUCGUCACUGACCACCUCAUAUCAGUGGUGAGACAGGACCGCGUUCUCCGGAUCCUUCUGACCUCAGCCGGGGGUGGGGCUUUAUUAUAACCAACAACCACAUUACUUUGAUUGCAAGCAACAGAAGCCCACGAGAGAAAUGGGUGCUUCGUGGAACCCUGGAGGAUGAGGCUCGAACCAAGGAUUUGAAUCCUUCAGAGUUUUGUCUGCUCUUUGUUGUUUCCUGUGACUGUGUGCUGUCGUGGCAAAACACACACGCCAUAAAACUUACCGUUUUGACAGCUCACUUGUGCUGCUUUGCGGCACUAAGCACAUUCACACUGUCCUGCAGCUGUCACCACGGUCCAUCUGCAGAGCUUCCUUAUCAUUGCAAAGUAAGACUCUGCACCUGUUAAGCAGUUGCUCCCCCAGCCCCUGGUAACCAUCAUUCUUUUUUCCGUCUCUGAAUUUGACUGCUCUAAGUAUCUUAUAUAAGUGGAAUCAUACAGUAUGUGCCCUUCCGUGACUGGCUUAGAUCACGUAGCAUGAUAUCCUCGAGGUUCAUCCAUGUUGUAGCACGUGUCAGAACUCUCUUCCUUUUGGGGGCUGAGUAAUAUUCUAUGGGCAGAUGUACCAUAUUUGUUUAUCCAGCUCUUCCACUGAUGAACAGUUGGGCUGCUUCCACCUUUUGGCUGUUGUGAAUAAUGUUGCAAUGAACAUGGGUGUACAAGCAUCUGUCCGGGUCUCUGUUUUAAACUCUUUUGGGUAUACACCCAGAAACAGGAAUUCUGGAACACAGAAUAAUUCUACAUUUAAUUUUUCAAGGGAUCACCACUGUUUUCCACAGCAGCUGCACCAUUCUGCAUUCCCACCAUCAGUGCCCAGGAAUUCUCAUUUCUCCACAUUUUUGCCAACACUUUGUUAUUUUUUUUAUCAAGUAACCAACCUAGUGGGAUGAAGUGGUAUCUGCCUGGGUUUUUAUUUGCAUUCCCCUGAUGAUUGAGCAUUUUUCAUGUGCUAGUCGGCCUUUUCUGUGUCUUCUUGAGAGAUGUCUGUUCAAGUCACUUACCUAUUUUUCAAUGGAACUGUCAGUUUUUUGUUGUUGAGUGCUGAGAGUUCUGUUUUUUCAAAUUGAAGUAUAGUCAGUGCUGUGUUAAUUUCUAAGGUACAGCAUAGUGAUUCAUUUAUACAUACAUGUACAUACAUAUAUUCCUUUUCAUACUCUUCUUCAUUAUCGGUCUUUACAAGGUACCGCAUAUAGUUCCCUGUGCUAGAGAGUUCUCUAUAUAUUCUUUUUGUUUUUGUUUCUUUGGGGUUCUCUGUAUAUUCUUGAUGUUAAUUCCUUAUCAGAUGUAUCAUUUGCAGAUAUGUUCCCCCAUGCCACCAUUGCCUUUUCACUCUGUGGAUUGUAUCCUUUGAUGCACGAAAGUUUUAAAUUUUGAUGAAGCCCAGUUUAUCUAUUUUUUUCUUUUGUUGCCUGUGCUUUUGGUGUCCUAUCCAAGAAACAUUGCCAAAUCCAAUGUCAUGUAACUUUUACUCAUUUUCUUCUAAGAGUUUUACCUCUUGCAUUUUUUUUUAUUAAUAAAGUUCUGAGUACAUCUUCAUAUUUGGAAGAACAUUCAAUACUACAAUGUGAUUGGGUGUUUAGGAUCCAAUCUUACAUUUAAGUUUUCGAUCAGUUUUGAGUUAAUUUUUAUAUAUGGGUGUUGGGGCCCGGGGCAGGCCACCCUAAAAUAUGUCUCCAUGGCAUAUUGAUUAUUUUGAAUUAAAGUUACUUAAGACGUGGGUGAUGCAAGAGGGACACUUUGACCCCCUCUUCUGUAUCACUGAAAGCAGGAAAUAAACCUCCACGUGAAAGGUGCGUACUUGAGGCUGGAGGUAGGGCACCCCCAUCACCAGAGAUGGGGAGUGUGGACCAAGGAGUCUGUAUAAUCAAACCUUGCUCGCUCUUUAAGUUACUAGCCCAAGACCAAACUCUGUUUAGAGUCUUCACUAAUUAAGUACCCAAAGCCUAAGUUUCUUUGUCCUAUGAAUGCCUUACAAAUCUAUUGUUUCUUUGUCUAAAAAGUAUAAAGUUGCCUGCCUUGGCCACUUAUUAGAUCUUAUUUCUAUAAAGCCUCCGUGUGCACAAA